UACCAAACUGUUGCCUCGGCGGGGUCACGCCCCGGGUGCGUCGCAGCCCCGGAACCAGGCGCCCGCCGGAGGGACCAACCAAACUCUUUACUGUAGUCCCCUCGCGGACGUUAUUUCUUACAGCUCUGAGCAAAAAUUCAAAAUGAAUCAAAACUUUCAACAACGGAUCUCUUGGUUCUGGCAUCGAUGAAGAACGCAGCGAAAUGCGAUAAGUAAUGUGAAUUGCAGAAUUCAGUGAAUCAUCGAAUCUUUGAACGCACAUUGCGCCCGCCAGUAUUCUGGCGGGCAUGCCUGUCCGAGCGUCAUUUCAACCCUCGAACCCCUCCGGGGGGUCGGCGUUGGGGAUCGGGAACCCCUCAGACGGGAUCCCGGCCCCGAAAUACAGUGGCGGUCUCGCCGCAGCCUCUCCUGCGCAGUAGUUUGCACAACUCGCACCGGGAGCGCGGCGCGUCCACGUCCGUAAAACACCCAACUUCUGAAAUGUUGACCUCGGAUCACGUAGGAAUACCCGCUGAACUUAAGCAUAUCAAU
Molecule: ribosomal RNA, 531 nt
Filed under: Trichoderma sp. BSRE1A_4
Lineage: Eukaryota; Fungi; Ascomycota; Sordariomycetes; Hypocreales; Hypocreaceae
Description: eukaryotic LSU rRNA
Rfam family: 5.8S ribosomal RNA (bases 152-305)
Source: RNAcentral